AAAGGAAUCCUGGGAUGGCCUGUAACCAGGAUCGAGGCCAUCGAGCUACAGAUGGUCUUACAAAUGGAACCCCAAAUGACCUCAACUCACAACUUCUACCGAGGACUCCUGAACUGACCCACUGGCCUGUUCACUGGCCUAAACAGUUCCCCUCUGGAGGACACUACAACUGCAGGGCCCCUUCUUCACCCCUAUCCAGGAGGAAGUAGCUAGAGUUGUCAUUGCCCAAUUCCCAACAGCAGUUGGGGUAUCCUGUUUAGAGGACAAAUUGAGAGGUAAAGCCAGCUGGACUUCCUGGGUCAAGUGGGGACUUGGAGAACUUUUUUGUCUAGCUAGAGGAUUGUAAAUGCACCAAUCAGCACUCUGUAAAAAUGCACCAAUCUGCGCUCUGUGUCUAGCUAAAGGAUUGUAAAUGCACCAAUCAGCACUCUGUAAAAAUGCACCAAUCAGCACUGUGUCUAGCUAAAGGAUGGUAAAUGCACGAAUCAGCACUCUGUAAAAAUGCACCAAUCAGCACUCUGUGUCUAGGAUUGUAAAUGCACCAAUCAGCACUCUGUAAAAUGACCCAAUCAGCUCUCUGUAAAAUGGACCAAUCAGCAGGAAGUGGGCAGCGCCAAAUAAGGGAAUAAAAGCUGGCUACCCUAGCCAGCAGCAGCAACCUGCUCAGAUCCCCCUCCAUGCUGUGGAAGCUUUGUUCUUUUGCUCUUCACAAUAAAUCUUGCUGCUGCUCACUCUUUGGAUCCACACUGCCUUUAUGAGAUGUAACACUCACUGCGAAAGUCUGCGGCUUCACUCCUGAAGUCAGUGAGACCACAAACCCACUGGGAGAAACAAAUGGCUCUGGACAUGCCACCUUUAAGAGCUGUAACACUCACUGUGAAGGUCUGCGGCUUCACUCCUGAAGUCAGCGAGACCACGAACCCACUGGAAGGAAGAAACUCCAAACACAUCUGAAGGAACAAACUCCGGACAUACCAUCUUUAAGAACUGUAACACUCACCGCGAGGGUCCGUGGCUUCAUUCUUGAAGUCAGUGAGACCAAGAAUCCACCAGAAGGAACCAAUUCUGGAUACAAUAUCAUGUUAACAGUAGACUUUCCUGGAUUUCAGAAAAAUCUCAUUCUUUUUACCCUCAGCUGCCUUGGAUGGACAUGGGCAGCCCAGAGACUUAAGUGGGUGCUUGUAUGUAAUAUUCUGAUUUGAAACACAAGCGGGCCCAUAUGGUAUAUCUAGUAAUGCUUAGAAAGUCCUAAACUACUUGUUUAGUUUAUGCCCUACACUUGGAGAAAACAUGUGGCAAGACAAAUAUAUUCUGUUAUCUUUUUCUAUUUUGCCUUGAUUUUAAUCUCUUUAUCCUGAUAUCUUGUGAACUGAGCAUACUUCUGUUAUGUCCUAUAUUACAAAUAGGCAAAAACAAUAUAUAUAUACACAUAUAUAAUGUAUUAUGUAUUUAUGUAUAGUAUAUGCACAUAUGCAUACAUGUAUAACAUAUGUGUAUAUGUAUGUAUAUAUGUAUGAAUAUAUGAGAGAUAAUAUAUGUAGAGAGAUUAUCUUAUAAUAAAUGCCUAGAUUCAAUAAAAUGUCCUUAACAUGACAAUUUGAUCUGACAAAAAUACUUUGAAUCUCCUAUCUAUUAAGACUUAUUAAAUCUUCUGGUUAUAAAUGUUGUUUAAAAAUGUUCUGUGGUAAGAGAUACAAGGCUUAUGGAAAACAAUUCUUGAAAAAAGAAUGUAUGGCUGAUGAUAUGCAUAAACUAAAGCUGAUGCUACAGGCAACCUGAAUCACUGAUUGCAAAUAAAGUAUUGAUCAGAAAGAAAUCUGAAGGACUUCUCAAGAAAAAAAAUGGAUGGCAGAGAAAACUGUCGUAAUUGCAGGGGAAGUGGUGUUGAGGCUCAUUUAUGUGAUUUUCCUACUCCCUCUGUGUCAUUCUAGGCUAUAGGAGAGAAGACACAGAGCUCUCAUGAAGAACAGAGCUGAGACCCAGGGAUUUAAAAGACAAGUGAAAUCUGUUCCUCUAAUUCAAAAGGAAGUUGGAUCUUUAGUACUAAACAACUAGAGACACAAUCAGGACUCAGGAUUCUGACCUUCAACCACUCUUCUCUGGAAAAUUUCCAAGGAAUUAGAGCCUAAGUACCCCUGUGCCUGCAAUAGAAGUUGGGCAAGCCACGUACUCAGCCUUCUCAGAGCAGUCCAUGAUCUCUUUAACUGAAAUCAUGGAAAAGAGAGGACUUAAAAGGAAAUAUCAUCCCUAAAGAGAUAGACUAUCUCAGCAUCUGGACCCCAAAAAAUCCCCUUAACUUUCGUCCAUUAAUAGCAUCUCUUCUUCACUAUGAGAUAGGGUGGGUAACUGUGGGUAGGAGGGAGCAGAGGGAACACUUGGAUGUCCCUGAGCCUUGCACCAUAGCUCAAAGCUCCAAACAGGGCAUGAGAUCAAUAAUAAUUGGGAUGAAGGAAAAGAAGUCUCUGGAUCUCUGGCAAGGAAGGAAAACCCCCAGAGUGGCUGCUGUGCCAAAAAGGCUCCAAAGUGAUGUGACAGUGCAGUGGAGCCAUGCCAAGAUGGGAUUUGGAGUUCAUAACAAAGGAGGAGGUAAUUUUAAUCAAGGUACGAGGAUAAGAUGAGAAUUAGAUUAGCAUAAUUUGUGAGAAAUGUUCUAUAAUAGCUAGUAAUUUCUGAUUAGGUGCAUCGUCAAUGAAUUAGAAGUUGAUAGUAUAAGGUUUCUACAUAAAAGUAGCAAUAAAUAUAUGCUUACUUUCAUGUAAGGCAAAAUUAUCAAGGUGUAAGUAGUAUUGUUUUCAAUGUUUCUGGCACAUGGUAGUUCAACAAAAUAUGUUGAAUUAAUUAUUGAAUAAGUUAUUGUCCACAUUUUUUAACUUCAUGGCCUUAUCUUGCAUACUGCCAUUUAGUGGCAGCAUCUCUAAUUGUAAGCAAAGUACCAAUUGAAAAGAAAUUCAAUUAUGAAGUACUAGUACAUACUAUUGGGAAGGGGUUUGUGUGUUUGUUUUGUUUUGUUUUUAUUUGUGUAAGUUUUUAAACCAAGGAGUACACUAACAAUAGAUUGUAUACAUGUUUUUAUUGUUAUCUUAGAUGAUUCAGGGGAGCCAAAAAAUUCUCAGAAGUCUUAUCUUUUUUUUACCUGGAAUUUAUCUUAGCCUUUCCAGAAUUUUCAGAGUUAGACUGUGAAACAGUAGAACUCUUCUAAUGUUUCUAAUGUCUCUUGACUCAUAAGUCACAGGGGAACUGAUGAGUUAACAUUCUAAACAUUUCAAAAGAGUUUAAGGAAAUGUUCAUUCUCCAGAAGCAGGAGAUGAAUGCAAAGGUCCAGAGGGCUUUGUGAGCCACCUCCUCACCGACAAUGAUGGACUCUGUUUCUACCUAGGAAGAGAACAUAGGGGGCUGACACAGCCGUUCUAUUUUUUACUGUAAUGAAUGCUAUUUUCAUUUACUUUAGAGAGCAGUCCCCAAGAAGACUAGUGACAAGAUGAAGGUUCACUGGCU
RNAcentral lists this long non-coding RNA (3495 nucleotides) under Homo sapiens (human). Its description in RNAcentral is "HSALNT0017964". Lineage: Eukaryota; Metazoa; Chordata; Mammalia; Primates; Hominidae. The record is from RNAcentral.